GUUUACGGGCAGAUCUGCCCGAACCAAUAUGGCGGCGCCGUUUACGUACGAUUCAGCGCUCAAUGCGGCGUCUAUGUAUAUAUGUCUAUGGUCUGGCCCUUUAAAUCUGCAGCGGAAGAAGUAGGCGGGAUGUGUGUUGGCGUACAGGAAGGUGGUCCAAUAGUGUGUAGAGCAAAUCGUAGAUCUUGUAACGUUCUUGGUAGUUUACUGUGAUUGCGUUUUGCCCGUCAGUGUGUGUAUCCUCAGCUGUAGAGCACAGGCUCGCCUCUCUCUCUGUCUGUCUGUUAGCUCAGUGCUCUGUGGCUCUUUGUCUGAUACAAGGCGCGCUCUCAGCAGCUACUUUGUUCAGGCGUAACGUGACUACAAGAGUUCCAGCUGGCUAUCCCCAGCCUGUUCACCUGAGAGCUUAGAGCAUCCACAGUCAGUAGGAUGGAGGAGGAGGCCAGGUGCUUCCUGGGGAGGUUUGUGGAGGAGUUCCCGACUGUUCUGGAGGAUGACAGCCUGCUGCCUGUCAGCCCUCUGAGCCACAAAGUGUCAAUGGAGGAGUUGCAUGGAGAGAGCCUGGAUCUGGGCCUGAGGCUUCUGGAUGCCAGAUAACAACAGUGAGUAGAGAGGACAUGGGCAAGAGAUGGAGAUACCAGCCGAGACUCUAAAACCAGCUUUUGGAACAGCUGGCGAAAGGAUUACAUUUGUCACACAAAUGUGAGACAUCUACACCCACUGAGCUGAAAGUGGGAGAUGUAAUCCUGGUCGGCGAGGACAACACACCCCGACAGACCUGGAACAUAGGCAGGAAUAACUCAACUGUUUCCAGGGAGAGAUGGAAUCGUUCGCUCCUGUAUAGUUCAUACAUCCACAGGCAGUUUAUUGAGAAGACCUGUUCAGCUAAUUUAUCCGUUAGAGAUUAAUUAAUUAAAGUGAUUGCAUUGUGAUGUGAUGAACAUGAUAGUGAUGAACAACUGUUCAUCGGGCAGGAGGAUGUUGUAAAUAUAUAUUUUCAAUGGUAGGCAGUUGGCAAUAGAUGAAUAAUAAUAGGUUACAACAACAAAUGCUUUUAUUUUCUUCUUUUAUGUCACCGUUGUAGUUUUCUUCUUUGUAACAGUGUUUUACGUGUUUAAAUUAGUAAAUAUAAUCGGUUGAAUGAGAAGCAGUUGUGAUCGUCGUUUUGUUUAGAAGCUCCAACAUUUUACACAACACUUACCUGCUCACAGAUUUACAGUAACCAGGUUCCUACAGUGUAUGACCGACCAUGUACACCGCCUGCGAAUGACAAAGCAACUUUAUUUUAUUUUAUUUUCAAGUCACUGUGCAGGGCAACAGAGGGAAAAAAAGAAGAUCCAUUGAAAUAAUGAUAAAGACUUAACAUUGUCUCUCAACUGCAUGGAUGAAAUAUCCUGCAAUACAAUUACAUAAACUAUGUGAACAAAUAGGAGUUUAACAUAUGAGUCCUAACUUCUGGUGCUGUUAUUCUCUGGUUGUACAUUAUAAAACAUGCAGCAUAAUUCUCUCUAUGUUUUUGAAUACACUGUGAAUUGAGUUUCAAAAUCUUUUAGUGCUGACAGCACUCCUCUUCCUUCAUAAGUGUUACGUCCACUAGGACUAACCUAGUCAGACAAUAACACGACAAUCAUAAUAAUCAAAGUCUCGGUGGUAGUGAAGAAAAAAAGGUUUAUUUAUAACAAACAAAAAGAUACUCAGGUGGGGUAGGAUGGGACAAAGUGAUUGUGCCAAAAAAAAGUGAAAUUAAUAUAACAAAAGUAGGACUGUCUUCUCUGGAGCUACAGAAAAGAAACACAAACAAAAUGCCUAACU
Molecule: long non-coding RNA, 1812 nt
Organism: Larimichthys crocea (large yellow croaker)
Lineage: Eukaryota; Metazoa; Chordata; Actinopteri; Sciaenidae
Exons: 3
Source: RefSeq, a predicted model, not a curated record